Molecule: small nucleolar RNA, 140 nt
Organism: Rattus norvegicus (Norway rat)
Lineage: Eukaryota; Metazoa; Chordata; Mammalia; Rodentia; Muridae
Product: small nucleolar RNA SNORA48
Source: Ensembl
CACCCUAGCACUGGGCAGAGACAACUUGUUGAUGGUGGAGUUCUUAUAUCAGUCAGGGGCAGAGCAGAUGGCAGUCCUUUGUUGAUCCUAGCUUGAUGUUUGGCUUGGUAGCCAAAGCUGUUUUAUGGCUAGACAUAUAA